UCACAGUUUACACUGGCAGUCUCGUUAGAGUUCCCGACAUGACUCGCUGGCAACUAACGACAGGGGUUGCGCUCGUUAUAGGACUUAACCUGACACCUCACGGCACGAGCUGACGACAACCAUGCAGCACCUUGAAAAACGUCCGAAGAAAAGUCUGUUUCCAAACCUGUCGUUUCCCAUUUAAGCCUUGGUAAGGUUCCUCGCGUAUCAUCGAAUUAAACCACAUGCUCCACCGCUUGUGCGGGCCCCCGUCAAUUCCUUUGAGUUUCAUUCUUGCGAACGUACUCCCCAGGUGGGAUACUUAUCACUUUCGCUUAGCCACUCAGAUUGCUCCGAACAGCUAGUAUCCAUCGUUUACGGCGUGGACUAC
RNAcentral lists this unclassified non-coding RNA (370 nucleotides) under uncultured Flavobacteriaceae bacterium. Its description in RNAcentral is "contains 16S-23S intergenic spacer region". Lineage: Bacteria; Pseudomonadati; Bacteroidota; Flavobacteriia; Flavobacteriales; Flavobacteriaceae. The record is from RNAcentral.